GGUUCGCGUCUCUCUGCUGCGGCGCGGGGACCGCUGUGCUCUCGGAAUCUUGUCGAUUGGCCUGGCUGCUGCCUACUACAGCGGAGAUAGCCUGGGCUGGAAGCUCUUCUACGUCACAGGCUGCCUGUUUGUGGCUGUGCAGAACUUGGAGGACUGGGAGCCAUCUUCGACAAGAGCACAGGGAAGGUUGUUUUGAAGACGUUCAGCCUCUACAAGAAGCUGCUGACUCUUUUCAGAGCUGGCCACGACCAGGGUGAGUCGUGGGGAGCGUGGGGACAUGGGACACGGCCACAGAGGCGGCGCACUUGGGCGUCUGGGUGACUCACGGGGCCUAGAGGGGGGCCUGGAAGUGCCUUUGGUCCAAGCUCACCUGCUUGGUGACCAGGGUUGUGUCCUGCCCGCUGGAAGCAGGAUCCCACGGAUACGCCCCACCUGCUCACCUGCUCAGCAGGGUCCUAGAGCCUCCUGGGUUCUUUAGAGGUUUGGCCCCUGGGGAGAGUGGGAGGAGCAGGGGUCUGAGGAGCAGGGGUCUGGCAGAGCAGGGGUCUGAGGAGCAGGG
Molecule: long non-coding RNA, 559 nt
Filed under: Homo sapiens (human)
Lineage: Eukaryota; Metazoa; Chordata; Mammalia; Primates; Hominidae
Description: non-protein coding lnc-C17orf62-6:3
Source: RNAcentral